This 254-nucleotide ribosomal RNA is filed under the name uncultured bacterium. RNAcentral's name for it is "partial 16S ribosomal RNA". It matches the Rfam family "Bacterial small subunit ribosomal RNA", at positions 524 to 776 of the family's 1533-position model. The record is from RNAcentral.
GACGAACCACACAAACGUUAUUCGGAAUUACUGGGCUUAAAGGGUGCGUAGGCGGCGCGGUAAGUCGGGUGUGAAAUCUCGGGGCUUAACUCCGAAACUGCAUUCGAUACUGCCGUGCUUGAGGACUGGAGAGGAGACUGGAAUUUACGGUGUAGCGGUGAAAUGCGUAGAUAUCGUAAGGAAGACCAGUGGCGAAGGCGGGUCUCGUGGACAGUUCCUGACGCUGAGGCACGAAGGUCAGGGGAGCAAACGGG